UGGGUUGUAGCUCAGUGGUAGAGCGCUUGCCUAGCAUGUGUGAGGCACUGGGUUCAAUUCUCAGCACCACAU
Molecule: transfer RNA, 72 nt
Filed under: Urocitellus parryii (Arctic ground squirrel)
Lineage: Eukaryota; Metazoa; Chordata; Mammalia; Rodentia; Sciuridae
Also listed under: 1 other name
Description: Spermophilus parryii (Arctic ground squirrel) tRNA
Rfam family: tRNA
About the family: Transfer RNA (tRNA) molecules are approximately 80 nucleotides in length. Their secondary structure includes four short double-helical elements and three loops (D, anti-codon, and T loops). Further hydrogen bonds mediate the characteristic L-shaped molecular structure. tRNAs have two regions of fundamental functional importance: the anti-codon, which is responsible for specific mRNA codon recognition, and the 3' end, to which the tRNAs corresponding amino acid is attached (by aminoacyl-tRNA synthetases). tRNAs cope with the degeneracy of the genetic code in two manners: having more than one tRNA (with a specific anti-codon) for a particular amino acid; and 'wobble' base-pairing, i.e. permitting non-standard base-pairing at the 3rd anti-codon position.
Source: Rfam by way of RNAcentral